UCCAAACUAUGUCAAAGCGAUGGCACCAU
This 29-nucleotide non-coding RNA is filed under the name Rattus norvegicus (Norway rat). Lineage: Eukaryota; Metazoa; Chordata; Mammalia; Rodentia; Muridae. The record is from RNAcentral.